UCAGAUCGCCGGACGGCCGCUGCCCUCGGGCAGAGGAAAGUCCGGGCUCCGCGGAAAAACGGUGCCGGGUAACGCCCGGCGAGGGUGACCUCAGGGAAAGUGCCACAGAAAGCAAACCGCCGAGACCGCGGCUGCGGCCGCCGAUCGGCAAGGGUGAAAGGGUGCGGUAAGAGCGCACCGCGUCGCUGGCGACAGCGGCGGCACGGCAAACCCCACCGGGAGCAAGACCGAAUAGGGGCGGCGCGCGCCGAUUCGUCGGCGCAGGCUCGAUUUCCGAGCCAGUCGUCCGGGUAGGUCGCGCGAGGCGUCCGGUAACGGGCGUCCCAGAUGAAUGGCCGUCCCUCGGCAUGGCGCCGAGGACAGAACCCGGCUUACAGGCGAUCUGGCGCC
RNAcentral lists this RNase P RNA (390 nucleotides) under Alphaproteobacteria bacterium. RNAcentral describes it as "RNase P RNA component class A". It matches the Rfam family "Bacterial RNase P class A". From Rfam's summary of the family: Ribonuclease P (RNase P) is a ubiquitous endoribonuclease, found in archaea, bacteria and eukarya as well as chloroplasts and mitochondria. Its best characterised activity is the generation of mature 5'-ends of tRNAs by cleaving the 5'-leader elements of precursor-tRNAs. Lineage: Bacteria; Pseudomonadati; Pseudomonadota; Alphaproteobacteria. The record is from RNAcentral.